GGAAAUGACCCAAUGGCAGACGUGCCAAAACCUCUAAAAAGACUAGGAAUGCCAUCAUUCCUCAGUAUAUGUCUGAAUAUAAAGAUCCCACCCGUGUGAGAGAGACCAGAGUCAGCUACUUGCAUUCCGGUCUUCACUACUGCAGCUGGAUUUAGUAGGGCUUGCUGAGCAGUAAACAGUACAGCCCCGAUUAUGUGAAACCUUGUCUUGUCCAACCUGAACCAAUCCCAUCCAAGUUAUUAGACAAUUAAAAUGCUCAAGCGAGAAAAUAGUAAAACCCCAUGCAAAGCAAAAUACUCGAAGCUUUUUGUGAUAUUUUUUGUGUCAUCAAAGAGUGAAAGAUAAAUAACUAGCCCAAUUGAUAUCGAUAUCGGCAAGAGCCAAUUCUGGAGGAGUUGCGACCUCAGU
This 408-nucleotide unclassified non-coding RNA is filed under the name Hevea brasiliensis (rubber tree). The record is from RNAcentral. Lineage: Eukaryota; Viridiplantae; Streptophyta; Magnoliopsida; Malpighiales; Euphorbiaceae.